Molecule: long non-coding RNA, 213 nt
Filed under: Prunus persica (peach)
Lineage: Eukaryota; Viridiplantae; Streptophyta; Magnoliopsida; Rosales; Rosaceae
Description: long non-coding RNA (PPER_LNC007972)
Source: RNAcentral
UUCAAUACUGUUGAGCAGUUGGAUCGUAAUCAAUUUCAGCUAUGUUACUCUAGAUAAUUCCAGAAUCAUGUAGGAUUCGACGGAUUGUGAAACGGAGCCCCGGAUAUUCCGAAAUCGCGAACCCUAGGGCUAGGGUUUAGAAAUUAUGCAAUUACACGAUCGUGAUCAAUCCGACCGUCCGAUCGACACCAAUACCCUCGGCACAUGUGUCCU